RNAcentral lists this unclassified non-coding RNA (3341 nucleotides) under Hevea brasiliensis (rubber tree). Lineage: Eukaryota; Viridiplantae; Streptophyta; Magnoliopsida; Malpighiales; Euphorbiaceae. The record is from RNAcentral.
GGCAAUUAAGAAAAUUUGGCUUGGGAAGCAAAAGGAAGGGGUUAGUUUUAUAACAAAAGUCGGUUGUCUAUGUCGUUUGUGCUAUAGAAACUUGAGGGCCAGAGCCCAGAGGAAGCCAAAUCAAAUUCAAAAUCAAUCAUGGGAAGUAAGCAAGCAAGCCGGAGCUUCAAGACUGGCCAUCACCGUAGGUCAGAGCGUAUUGUAUCGAGCUUAAGGGAGCUGAAACUUGAGUGGAAAAGCAUGGAAGAGAAAUAGAAAUAGAGAAUUGGGAUCCCCAAAUUGCGAUUGUUAGCUUAUCCUCUGUGGGUGGUUCAUUCAAAUUUUUUCCGUUGUUCCCAAAAUAACGUAGUGUUAGUGAAAUCCAAGUUCAGCUGGACCUAUGUGCGAGUAGUGGUGCUGUGGCUUGAGCGGAGGAGAUUUCAACGGAUAGGAAAGACAAGCAGGUGAAGGACCAACGGCGACGGUACAAAGGAAUACGAUUGUGGUUUCUAGAACCUUUAUAUGAAAAUAAGUGGGUUAGGAAGGCCUUCUUCGGUUAUGACUUAUAGACUGGGCUGGAGAAACGCCCAUUAAGUUUUGACUUGUAAGCAGUCUGCAACUGUGAUUAGAGUUGUAGCCUAGGAAAGCCCAACACGGGAAUACACGGAAAGCCGAAUACGGCAAUCAAACAAUAUAACCCGACCCUUUUACACGGAAAGCCCAACCCGGCAAUACAUUAUCCGUACCUUUCUCUUUACCUACGAGUCUACAACCACAAUCUCAAGCUUUCAGCUACUUUGGUUGAACUACCCGGUACCGGUGGACAUAAAAACUACCGAGUGCCCAGCGUCUCCAAGUGCAAAAAUGGAGAAGAGCUCAUGGGACUACUGGGUACAGGAGGCUCUUGCAAAGCUUGAGUCGCUAAAACUGCUUCGAUCUUUAAGGCCCAUUUACCUCUCUAAAGAGUCUAACCCUUCGAGAAAGGUUGCACUUGGAGUUAAUUACGAGGUGUUCGACGAAAUGCAGCCAUGGGAUCGGUCCUCCGUUGAAGUCUCCAUUUCAGAGUCCACAUUUCAGAAAUGGCUCCUUGAAAUUCCCAGUUCCGGAGAUGAUAUUGUGUGUGGAAAUGGAGUGACUGACCAUAAAGUUGAGCAGUCCAAGAAGCUACUUUUAUUCUCUGGCAAUGAUUACUUGGGGUUGAGUUCACAUCCCACAAUUGGCAAGGCUGCUGCAAAGGCAGCCCGAGAACAUGGAAUGGGACCAAGAGGUUCUGCUUUAAUCUGUGGAUACACCAGUUACCAUAGGGAAUUAGAGUCUUGCUUGGCAAACUUGAAGAAGAAAGAGAUCAUGGAUAAACUAUAAAUUGGUUAGUUGAAAUCCAUGAAGGAUUGUCUUCUUUGUCCGACUGGGUUUUCUGCUAAUAUGGCAGUGAUGGUAGCUCUUGGAAACAUCAGCUCUCUUUUGGCUUCAGCUGAAAAACCUCCAAAGAAAGAAAAGAUUGCCAUAUUUUCUGAUGCACUGAAUCAUGCUUCAAUAAUUGAUGGUAUUCGUCUUGCUGAACGACAACAGAAUGUAGAGGUGCAUGUGUAUAAACACUGUGAUAUGUCCCACCUUCGUUCACUAUUAUCAAGUUGCGCAUUGAAGAAAAAAGUUGUUGUGACAGAUAGGUUAGCCAUUUCAUUCUAACUGCUACUGUUCAAUACCUUCUUUCUAUCUUUCUCCAGUUGUUUUUUUACAUGUUUAAGAAAAACUAGACUGUCCUGCUUUCUUGUUAUAACUUCUUCCUGUCAAUAUGGAUUUGACCUAUUCAGAUUUAUUUAAUUUUUAUAUAUUUCUUAAAACAUCAUUGUGGAUAAACCCCUACAAUUUCCUCAGUGUACAUAUGUAUAUAUUGCGGAUUCAACGCAAGAGCUUCAUUUUGUUCUUGUUGCAGCUUGUUUAGUAUGGAUGGAGAUUUUGCACCAAUGGUUGAGCUUGUGAAACUUCGCAAGAGGCAUGGUUUUUUGUUAGUCAUUGAUGAUGCUCAUGGAACAUUUGUAUGUGGAAAAAAUGGUGGCGGAGUGGCUGAGGAGUUUAAUUGUGAAAGAGAUGUUGACAUAUGUGUUGGAACUCUGAGUAAGGCUGCUGGUUGCCAUGGCGGAUUUAUAGCAUGCAGCAAAAAUUGGAAGAAACUCAUACAAUCAAGAGGCCGCUCUUUUAUAUUUUCAACUGCUUCUCCAGUCCCUGUUGCUGCUGCUGCCCAUGGUAAAUUCUACUGCUUUUGCUUUUCCCUUUUGGUUUUAAUUUUUGUUUUCAGAACUCCCAUACCAACCAAUCCUCUGUAGUGCUGUACUUUUGUUAAAUCUAUGAUCUUUUUGUUGAUUACUUCUGGUAUUUGUCGCCAAGUAACUUGGCCCAUUUCCCAUAAACGCUGCAGUCUGUAAAAUGCCUCGUGCAUGUAGCUCGGUUUUGAUAUUGAUACUAAAGAUUAGUUUCAAAUGCAACUAUAUAAAGGCUUUUAUGGGGGUGCAUGUAAUCCUUUAUUUUUAUGCUGUAGUCAACAUAUAGCACUUUAUAUGAUAAAAUAAGAUUUAUUUUGCUAUAUCAUAGUACUAGGAUAUGUUAUACUAUUAUUUCAUCGUGUAGUCUUUUCCCUCCUUAGUUAAAUAUUUUGUAUUUGUAACAACUUGAGUAUAACCUGGCAGCUUCUGUUAUUGUGGCAAAAAAGGAAGUGUGGCGUAGAAAUGCAAUUUGGAACAGAGUUAGGGAGUUUCAGGCUUUAACUGGAAUCCCCAUCAAAAGUCCCAUAAUUUCUAUAAUUGUUGGGAGUGAAGAAAAAGCCCUGCAAGCCAGCCAGCAUAUGUUGAAAUCUGGUUUUCAUGUGACUGCAAUCAGGCCCCCAACAGUGCCUCCAAACUUAUGCAGGCUACGAGUGACUCUGAGUGCAACUCACACAGCAGAUGAUUUGAAGCAACUGAUAGCCGCACUGUCCUGUUGCAUCAACAUUCAAGAAAUUGGGAGCAACAGCUUAUACGCAUAUGCUAGACUCUAGAAAUUAAUCCGGGUUCAUCAUAUCAGUUAUGAAGAAUAGUAGAAUAUGGAGAAUUAUAGCAAGGCAAAUGAGAUACUAGUGCACACAAUUGGUGUGUGGUAGAGAUUAGGUCUUGUUAAAGAAGAUUUAGUUUCCAUUUCAGCUUAUUUUAGUCAAUGUAUUACUUUGGCAAAUUUAGUGUAAACACUGAGUUAAUGUAGUAGGACAAGUUCAUGCAAAUUGUUCCUAAACAAUAAUUGAGAAUGCAUGGGCCUGAGCCUGCCCAAUAUUAUAGCUCCUACCUGCAUGAAAAAUUCAAAAUGAAUACAAGGUUAUUUUAGCUGUGGAAAAA